This is a long non-coding RNA of Sapajus apella (tufted capuchin), 187 nucleotides long. RefSeq lists it as uncharacterized. The record is from RefSeq and is a predicted model, not a curated record. NCBI's taxonomy places the organism in Eukaryota, Metazoa, Chordata, Mammalia, Primates, Cebidae. The transcript has 3 exons.
GUGAGCCAAGAAGAGGUCACUGUGCUCCAGGGUGGGUGACAGAGCAAGACUCUGUCUCAAAAAAAGAAAGGAAGAACAAAUAGAAGCAUAUAUCUAUAAAAGAAGUGAUAGCAAUUCCCUUCCUCAUUGUGACUAGUCAUAGAGCACUGUACUAUCCGCACAGGUUUCCUUAAAUAUUGUCUAUACC